AAACGACUCUCGGCAACGGAUAUCUCGGCUCUCGCAUCGAUGAAGAACGUAGCGAAAUGCGAUACUUGGUGUGAAUUGCAGAAUCCCGUGAACCAUCGAGUCUUUGAACGCAAGUUGCGCCCCAAGCCGUUAGGCUGAGGGCACGUCUGCCUGGGUGUCACG
RNAcentral lists this ribosomal RNA (162 nucleotides) under Phebalium multiflorum subsp. multiflorum. RNAcentral's name for it is "Microcybe multiflora subsp. multiflora 5.8S ribosomal RNA". It matches the Rfam family "5.8S ribosomal RNA". From Rfam's summary of the family: 5.8S ribosomal RNA (5.8S rRNA) is a component of the large subunit of the eukaryotic ribosome. It is transcribed by RNA polymerase I as part of the 45S precursor that also contains 18S and 28S rRNA. Functionally, it is thought that 5.8S rRNA may be involved in ribosome translocation. Lineage: Eukaryota; Viridiplantae; Streptophyta; Magnoliopsida; Sapindales; Rutaceae. The record is from RNAcentral.